AGUCGUUUGGGGAUGGGAGGGACCUGGGGGGGGGUCCCUGGAGUCAGAGGUGCCACCACGCGUCCCCCGUGUCCCCAGAGCACCCUCAGUGGCCACGUCCUGGUGCCGGAUCCCUUCCUGGUGCAUGACAGCCAGCAGGAACGUCACUUUGGCUUCAGCCUGGCCGAGGCCCUGCGCCGCGCCCGCCAUCACCCCCUGCUCCAGGGCUACGAGGUCCACGUCACCCCCCAGCGUCCACCCUGAGCCCGAGCUCAUGAGGGACAUCAUCACCUGCAGCUGGUGGCACCUUCCUGCCCACCAUGCCACGCACCUAUGGGCCACAGCGCCUGGUGAUCUCCUGCGAGGCGGACAAAGGGUGCUGGGCCCCGGCGCUGGGCGCCCGCCUGCCCCUGGUAUCAGCCGAGCUGCUGCUGACGGGACUCCUGCGACAGCAGCUCCAGCUCCAGCCCUUCCUCCUCCUCCCCGUGACCCCCCCCCGUUCUCACGGGACCCCCCCAAAUCCCCCCAAGGUUUCUACAGUCCCUCCGGGGGUCCUUAGUCACCCCCCCGAGGAUCCCCAGGGUAUUCCCGGGUCCCCCCGAGAAUCCAGGAAGGUGUCGGGACG
Aquila chrysaetos chrysaetos is the source of this 604-nucleotide long non-coding RNA. RefSeq lists it as uncharacterized. The transcript has 3 exons. Lineage: Eukaryota; Metazoa; Chordata; Aves; Accipitriformes; Accipitridae. The record is from RefSeq and is a predicted model, not a curated record.